Molecule: ribosomal RNA, 53 nt
Filed under: Acinetobacter baumannii ABNIH15
Lineage: Bacteria; Pseudomonadati; Pseudomonadota; Gammaproteobacteria; Moraxellales; Moraxellaceae
Description: partial 23S ribosomal RNA
Source: RNAcentral
AUGUGAAGCUGACCAAUACUAAUUGCUCGUGAGGCUUGACUAUACAACACCCA